Molecule: transfer-messenger RNA, 369 nt
Filed under: Ligilactobacillus equi
Lineage: Bacteria; Bacillati; Bacillota; Bacilli; Lactobacillales; Lactobacillaceae
Also listed under: 1 other name
Description: Standard tmRNA
Rfam family: transfer-messenger RNA
About the family: Bacterial tmRNA, also known as 10Sa RNA or SsrA, is named for its dual tRNA and mRNA-like properties. Its role is to liberate the mRNA from a stalled ribosome. To accomplish this part of the tmRNA is used as a reading frame that ends in a translation stop signal.
Source: RNAcentral
GGGGGCGUUUAGGAUUCGACAGGUAUAGGUCGAGCUUAAACUGCGUUUGGUAGGUUGCGACUACCAUAAAACGCUCAGUUAAAAUAUAACUGCAAAAAAUAACACACAAUCUUACGCAUUAGCUGCCUAAUCGCAGUGGCGUAAAUCCGCCUAGCAUCGUCCAUGUGUUAGAUCCGGGUUUUAUAUGAAGUGGACUUACGCUUGGACCUUUCACCUAGAGGAAAAAGAAGAGAUUAAUUAGGUUAGUUCAAGAUGUUAGCCGGGUCGGGCGGCGCGGUCUUGGAUGAAAGUUAAAUAGUCUGACUAUGAACGUAGACGUUUAAGUGGCGAUAUGCUUGGACGCGGGUUCGAUUCCCGCCGCUUCCAUAU